This 447-nucleotide ribosomal RNA is filed under the name uncultured bacterium. RNAcentral's name for it is "partial 16S ribosomal RNA". It matches the Rfam family "Bacterial small subunit ribosomal RNA", at positions 29 to 507 of the family's 1533-position model. The record is from RNAcentral.
AACGAACGCUAUCGGUAUGCUUAACACAUGCAAGUCGGACGGACUAAUUAGGGCUUGCUCCAAUUAGUUAGUGGCAGACGGGUGAGUAACACGUGGGAAUCUGCCCAUCAGUACGGAAUAACUUUUAGAAAUAAAAGCUAAUACCGUAUAUUCUCUACAGAGGAAAGAUUUAUCGCUGAUGGAUGAGCCCGCGCCAGAUUAGGUAGUUGGUGAGGUAACGGCUCACCAAGCCGACGAUCUGUAGCUGGUCUGAGAGGAUGAUCAGCCACACUGGGACUGAGACACGGCCCAGACUCCUACGGGAGGCAGCAGUGGGGAAUAUUGGACAAUGGGCGAAAGCCUGAUCCAGCAAUACCGAGUGAGUGAUAAAGGCCCUAGGGUUGUAAAGCUCUUUUAGCAAGGAAGAUAAUGACGUUACUUGCAGAAAAAGCCCCGGCUAACUCCGUG